CUCUGUUCCCCCCUUCAAAUAAGUUCCUUCUCUUUCAAGCUACUGUCUUAUGUAAAUUCUUGACGAAUCUAUACUCUUUCCAUUCCACCUUUCCCAUUAAAUACAUACUUCCCUGCUCUCAGGAUUUCACCUCAGUCAUUUUGAUUCUGAACCCAAGUUUGCUGUGCUUGCUGCAUGACAGGCCAAUAAAUUUGGAGGUGAGUUGUUGGGACGAGGAAUAAAGACUUUAAUUGGAAAGCUAGCAGACCCGAAAAGAUGGCAGACUAGUGUCCCCAAAAACCAUCUUUCCUCAGUCUGAAUUCAGGGUCCUUUUAUGUAGAAGAAGGGGAGAAGGACAACAGUCAUUCACUAAUUUUUACUUGCUUGGGGGAAGGGCUCACUACUUUGCUAACCAGUGGCUGAGCAGGACCACUAAAUGUUGCUCACUAAUGGUUGCUCUCUUGCAAUUUUACUAAAUCUAUAAAUCCUCAGGUCACAUGAACCUUAGUUACCAAACCAGUGGUUCUUGGAUUCUGUGGGGUGGUUAUUUUCCUAUUCUCCAGGGUGUUCCACUCUAGAAGUUCUAUCAUGGACUUCUCUAGCCAAGUCAUCUUGUUAUCUUUCUCCUUUGAUCCCUAAAUAUGGAUAUUCCCAAAGGAUCACUUUUUCAUUUUCUCUCUUUAUAUAUAUUUCUGACAACCUUAUAGCUUCGCUGACUAUUCUUAUGCCAAUAACAAGAUGGAUAGUCUAGCCCAGACACUUCAAGUUCAAAUCUCCCCCUACAGCUUCCUGAUAGACUUUUCCAUUUGAUUUUCUCUCUGGUGCCUCAAACCCAGUACACUCCAAACAACAGCAACAACACAACAGCAACAGCAACAACAACAAACCCUUAAAAUCUCCAUUCCAAAUUUGCUCUUCUACCUGGGUCUUUAAUUUUAGUCUUUUUUUUUUUUUUUUGUCUUUUUUCUGGAGCCACUCCCUUGGCAUAUGGAGGUUCCCAGGCUAGGGAUCGAAUCGGAGCUAUAGCCGCUGGUCUACACCACAGCCACAGCAACUCGGGAUCUGAGCUGCGUCUGUGACCUACACCACAGCUCAUGGCAACACCAAAUCCUUAACCCACUGAGCAAGGCCAGGGAUCGAACCCGCAACCUCAUGGUUUCUAGUUGGAUUCGUUAACCACUCAGCCAUGAUGGGAACUCUGUGGGUCUCUAAUUUUAGAUAAAACAUCACACCAACAUCGUAUUU
This 1224-nucleotide long non-coding RNA is filed under the name Sus scrofa (pig). RNAcentral describes it as "lncRNA (ENSSSCG00070022983.1)". Lineage: Eukaryota; Metazoa; Chordata; Mammalia; Artiodactyla; Suidae. The record is from RNAcentral.